AUAAAUGUGCGUUGAAACUAAGGUUGUUGUUGAGCCACCGGAGCUUUUUGCUGCUACGGGGCUGUUGUCGGGUCAGUUCGGAAUCGCAGCUGUUCCUUUGUGUUAUUUUGUGUCGCUAUGAUUAUUGCGGAUGUGGCUUGAAGCUGAGGUUGCGGUUGUUGAUGAUUUCGGGUUGAGGCGGAAAAGACUCUGUGACGCGUU
This is a non-coding RNA of Arachis ipaensis, 201 nucleotides long. The record is from RefSeq and is a predicted model, not a curated record. NCBI's taxonomy places the organism in Eukaryota, Viridiplantae, Streptophyta, Magnoliopsida, Fabales, Fabaceae.